AAGACCUAAAUGUAAGGCCAGGAACUAUCAAACUCUUAGAGGAAAACAUAGGCAGAACACUCUAUGACAUAAAUCACAGCAAGAUCCUUUUUGACCCACCUCCUAGAGAAAUGGAAAUAAAAACGAAAAUAAACAAAUGGGACCUAAUAAAACUUCAAAGCUUUUGCACAGCAAAGGAAACCAUAAACAAGACCAAAAGACAACCCUCAGAAUGGGAGAAAAUAUUUGCAAAUGAAGCAACCGACAAAGGAUUAAUCUCCAAAAUUUACAAGCAGCUCAUGCAGCUCAAUAACAAAAAAACAAACAACCCAGUCGAAAAAUGGGCAGAAGACCUAAAUAGACAUUUCUCCAAAGAAGAUAUACAGACUGCCAACAAACACAUGAAAGAAUGCUCAACAUCAUUAAUCAUUAGAGAAAUGCAAAUCAAAACUACAAUGAGAUAUCAUCUCACACCAGUCAGAAUGGCCAUCAUCAAAAAAUCUAGAAACAAUAAAUGCUGGAGAGGGUGUGGAGAAAAGAGAACACUCUUGCACUGCUGGUGGGAAUGUGAAUUGGUUCAGCCACUAUGGAGAACAGUAUGGAGGUUCCUUAAAAAACUACAAAUGGAACUACCAUAUGACCCAGCAAUCCCACUACUGGGCAUAUACCCUGAGAAAACCGAAAUUCAAAAAGAGUCAUGUACCAAAAUGUUCAUUGCAGCUCUAUUUACAAAAGCCCGGAGAUGGAAACAACCUAAGUGCCCAUCAUCGGAUGAAUGGAUAAAGAAGAUGUGGCACAUAUAUACAAUGGAAUAUUACUCAGCCAUAAAAAGAAACGAAAUUGAGCUAUUUGUAAUGAGGUGGACAGACCUAGAGUCUGUCAUACAGAGUGAAGUAAGUCAGAAAGAGAAAGACAAAUACCGUAUGCUAACACAUAUAUAUGGAAUAUAAAAAAAAAUGUCAUGAAGAACCUAGGGCUAAGACAGGAAUAAAAACACAGACCUACUGGAGAAUGGACUUGAGGAUAUGGGGAGGGGGAAUGGUGAGCUGUGACAAAGCGAGAGAGAGGCAUGGACAUAUAUACACUACCAAAUGUAAGGUAGAUAGCUAGUGGGAAGCAGCCGCAUAGCACAGGGAGAUCAGCUCGGUGCUUUGUGAUCACCUGGAGGGGUGGGAUAGGGAAGGUGGGAGGGAGGGAGACGCAAGAGGGAAGAGAUAUGGGA
Long non-coding RNA from Orcinus orca (killer whale), 1201 nucleotides. RefSeq lists it as uncharacterized. Lineage: Eukaryota; Metazoa; Chordata; Mammalia; Artiodactyla; Delphinidae. The transcript has 3 exons. The record is from RefSeq and is a predicted model, not a curated record.